UAAGAUGCGCGGGACAUAGCUGACCCCACAGGGUUGGAGGAAAGUCCGGACUGCAUGGGACGGCAUACCGGCUAAUGACCGGGCGGGGCAACCCGACGAUUAGAGGAACAGUGACGAAUCGAUUUAGUUCGAGUGAAACGGCCAAUCUCUAUGCGCAGCAACUUCAAAUAGGCCCCCUGUGACCAGUCCCAGGAUUGGGGGCGGGUAGAAGGCUUGACAUUCGUGGUAACACGAAAUGCAGAUUAAUUAUGUUCGCUACCCGGGCGUGGUUGUGAAAAGACUGGGCCCGCGGCAGUACAGAAUCCGGCUUAUAGUGCAUCUGCACGC
Molecule: RNase P RNA, 327 nt
Filed under: Alphaproteobacteria bacterium
Lineage: Bacteria; Pseudomonadati; Pseudomonadota; Alphaproteobacteria
Description: RNase P RNA component class A
Rfam family: Bacterial RNase P class A
About the family: Ribonuclease P (RNase P) is a ubiquitous endoribonuclease, found in archaea, bacteria and eukarya as well as chloroplasts and mitochondria.
Source: RNAcentral